Long non-coding RNA from Gadus morhua (Atlantic cod), 400 nucleotides. RefSeq lists it as uncharacterized. The transcript is spliced from 4 exons. The record is from RefSeq and is a predicted model, not a curated record. Lineage: Eukaryota; Metazoa; Chordata; Actinopteri; Gadiformes; Gadidae.
AGAACGGGAGCUUUAUUGUUUGUUUGAAUAGUGUGCCUCUGUUGACUGGUAACUAUGGUGCUGACUGUGUCCCAGCAAUGCUGAGAUUGGCUCCCUCACGAGGCCAGUGGUGGCAUUCUCCGGGUGAACAAGGAUGUGGUUGCACAACACUAGAUGGAGAGGCCCUCAAAGGCUGUGUUUCAUCCUGCGAAAGAGUGUUAUCACAGCUCUUGCUGGGAACAGACGCAACCUGCGUAAACGUCUCUACAGAGGAGGAAACAUCCGUCCUGAGCCAACAGUCUCUGUUGCCAGAAGCUUCUGAACGGUGCGAUGCCGGUCCCUGGACCCACCAGGAUACAGGGGACUCUGUGGUCCUUGGGCAGCUGGAACAACGGAGCGCUGGGACGCAGCAGAUCCAACG